UACAGAGGUCUCAAGCGUUGUUCGGAUUCAUUGGGCGUAAAGGGUGCGUAGGUGGCGAUGUAAGUCGGAUGUGAAAUCUCCAAGCUUAACUUGGAAACUGCAUUCGAUACUGCUUUGCUCGAGGACUGUAGAGGGCAUUGGAAUUCACGGUGUAGCAGUGAAAUGCGUAGAUAUCGUGAGGAAGACCAGUGGCGAAGGCGAAUGCCUGGGCAGUUCCUGACACUGAGGCACGAAGGCCAGGGGAGCAAACGGG
Molecule: ribosomal RNA, 253 nt
Filed under: uncultured bacterium
Lineage: Bacteria
Description: partial 16S ribosomal RNA
Rfam family: Bacterial small subunit ribosomal RNA
Source: RNAcentral